AAACUUUCAACAACGGAUCUCUUGGUUCUCGCAUCGAUGAAGAGCGCAGCGAAAUGCGAUACCUAGUGUGAAUUGCAGCCAUCGUGAAUCAUCGAGUUCUUGAACGCACAUUGCGCCCUCUGGUAUUCCGGAGGGCAUGCCUGUUUGAGCGUCGU
RNAcentral lists this ribosomal RNA (155 nucleotides) under Pichia occidentalis. RNAcentral describes it as "5.8S ribosomal RNA". It matches the Rfam family "5.8S ribosomal RNA". Rfam says of the family: 5.8S ribosomal RNA (5.8S rRNA) is a component of the large subunit of the eukaryotic ribosome. It is transcribed by RNA polymerase I as part of the 45S precursor that also contains 18S and 28S rRNA. The record is from RNAcentral. Lineage: Eukaryota; Fungi; Ascomycota; Pichiomycetes; Pichiales; Pichiaceae.